Molecule: long non-coding RNA, 208 nt
Filed under: Lathyrus oleraceus (garden pea)
Lineage: Eukaryota; Viridiplantae; Streptophyta; Magnoliopsida; Fabales; Fabaceae
Description: Pisum sativum (pea) long non-coding RNA (PSAT_LNC003926)
Source: RNAcentral
AUGUUUAUUUUUGUUUCCCGAGUGUCUUUAUUUCAAUAAACCAAACAUCGAUGGGUUCUGAAAAUCUAUAGCUCAGAACAGUGUUGUUAAAUAGUAGUGAUAGCAGCACUGUAUCGUAGCAAAAUUUGCACAAAUCGCUAUUCCAUUGUUUAUUAGCCAAAGACUGUUUGAACUAUUUAGCUAUUUGACUUGUGCAUUUUCAUGGUUG